RNAcentral lists this long non-coding RNA (486 nucleotides) under Phasianus colchicus (ring-necked pheasant). RNAcentral's name for it is "lncRNA (ENSPCLG00000020828.1)". The record is from RNAcentral. Lineage: Eukaryota; Metazoa; Chordata; Aves; Galliformes; Phasianidae.
AUCUGGUGCUCAAGGUUCUCCUUUCUGAAGGUAUCCCUUCAGUAAGUGUGUGCCCAGCAUCUUCACGGCACUUACGAUUUUAUGAUCUCUAGGCUGAAGAUUCCUCAGUCACUUAGAUGUACUUGGUCAUCAAAGUGGGAGUGAGUGCAGCCCUGCUGGCUGCUGGAGCCCCAGGGAUGCUAGCUGGAGAUGUUGAUCCAAAGAAGACAUGAUACGGAAUGAGGAAUCACCUGUCAAAGGCCAGGCUCCACGUUCAGUGAGCUGGAGCUUUAGGUUUCUUGGAAAUAUUGAUCAGUGUCUCUUCCAGGGCUUUUAACUGCCACGGUGAAAGGCUCAUGUCUGGCUUCUCCUGGAGAUCAACCUUAAGCUUGUAACUGUCAGAGUGCAGUACAGGGAUCACGUCUGAAGGAAAACAUCUUCCUAGGUCGGGAAAGCAUCACGCCUUCAUUUGUUACAUUCCUCAGAUAAUUCUAGCUGUCUGCUGAA